GCUACAUUUAGGUGAUUGACUCGAUUAAUCCAAAAUUACAAAAGGAAAAAAUGAUUAUUAAAUUUCUAAAUAUAAAGAAAAAUCAAGUGAUAGGUUAACAUUACAAUAAUAGUGUUUUAAGAUGCGAUUAACCUGCAUUUAAUUCGGUGUUUGGGUGUUUGUUUAACAUAAUCAAUAAUACCCAUAAUAAUUAAGAAAAUAGAUUAAUACUUGAUUUUAUGUAUCAUCACUAAUUUGUUCUACU
Molecule: unclassified non-coding RNA, 244 nt
Filed under: Hevea brasiliensis (rubber tree)
Lineage: Eukaryota; Viridiplantae; Streptophyta; Magnoliopsida; Malpighiales; Euphorbiaceae
Source: RNAcentral